This 700-nucleotide long non-coding RNA is filed under the name Erythranthe guttata (spotted monkey flower). RNAcentral describes it as "long non-coding RNA (EGUT_LNC001517)". The record is from RNAcentral. Lineage: Eukaryota; Viridiplantae; Streptophyta; Magnoliopsida; Lamiales; Phrymaceae.
UUACAUUUUUAAAUAUUUUUCUAUUCAAUUUAUUUUUAAGCAAAGAGCAUACAUAUAUAUACGUCACAAAAAAAAAAUUACAAAAUUAGAAAGAAAAAUAAAAUAAGACCAUAAUAAGGGCUGGCUGAUUUUAUGAAUCUACCCAAUCUAAAACAAAAACAAAAAAAACAAAAAAAAAAUAAAAAAAAAUAAUAAAAAAGAAGAAAAGAGAGAAAAAGAAACAGGCGGAAGAAACAAGAAAAUGGGGACGAAGAAGAUGAGUUUUAUAACACGCCGCCGACCAUCAACCCCUUGGUGACCCAACUCAACGCCUCAAUUCAAGAUCCUGAAAACUCAUAUCUCCUUACUUUCUACAAUAAUGUAAAAAUACUUGAGUUUCUGAAACCGUAACAAAUCAAAUCCCCAACCAAAAUUCUCUAAAUAUAACCACAAGGAACAGAGAAUUAUCAAUAUUCUUCUCAAAAUUGAGGAUUUCAAAGAAGAAUCAAAAUCCUAGGAAUCAGAGAUGCCGCCACAGAAGACGGAAAAACGCGAACAAUGGGUUCUGAGAUGAAAUCCCUGGGCUUUUUUUUUUUUCUUUUUUUAUAUAAUUUUCUGGGAAUUUUUUCAAAAUAUUGUGGGGAAUUCUUGAUUUUUUUCCCCGAGGUUUAUCGGCUUAACCCUAAAUCAUAAACCAGAGGGAGAAAAAAUUAUGUGUGUU